This 103-nucleotide non-coding RNA is filed under the name Legionella worsleiensis. RNAcentral's name for it is "TPP sequence". It matches the Rfam family "TPP riboswitch aptamer (THI element)". Rfam says of the family: Vitamin B(1) in its active form thiamin pyrophosphate (TPP) is an essential coenzyme that is synthesised by coupling of pyrimidine and thiazole moieties in bacteria. The previously detected thiamin-regulatory element, thi box was extended, resulting in a new, highly conserved RNA secondary structure, the THI element, which is widely distributed in eubacteria and also occurs in some archaea. Analysis of operon structures identified a large number of new candidate thiamin-regulated genes, mostly transporters, in various prokaryotic organisms. Lineage: Bacteria; Pseudomonadati; Pseudomonadota; Gammaproteobacteria; Legionellales; Legionellaceae. The record is from Rfam by way of RNAcentral.
AUUUAUCACCAGGGGUGCUGAACCUUUAUUGUGUUUGGCUGAGACAAACCCUUAGUACCUGAUCUGGGUAAUGCCUGCGAAGGAAGUGUGAACCAUGACUUAU